RNAcentral lists this unclassified non-coding RNA (279 nucleotides) under fungal sp. Its description in RNAcentral is "partial contains small subunit ribosomal RNA, internal transcribed spacer 1, and 5.8S ribosomal RNA". The stretch from base 1 to 46 matches the Rfam family "Eukaryotic small subunit ribosomal RNA", at positions 1786 to 1831 of the family's 1831-position model. Lineage: Eukaryota; Fungi. The record is from RNAcentral. RNAcentral also lists the same sequence under 1 other name.
AAGUCGUAACAAGGUCUUCGUAGGUGAACCUGCGGAGGGAUCAUUACCGAGUUAGGGUCCUCAUCGGGCCCGACCUCCCAACCCAUUGUUUAUGAUACCUAGUGUUGCUUCGGUAGGCCUGGUCUAUCUGUUAUAGACCUGCCGGGGGGCCGUAAGACGCCCGCCGGAGAGUGCCUACCGACAGCCUCAACUCCAAAAUUCUUUAACCAAACGUGUCUUUGUCUGAGUAACGUCUUUUAAAAUAAAGCAAAACUUUCAACAACGGAUCUCUUGGUUCUG